UAUACGCGAGAAACCUUACCAGGGCUUAAAUGUAGGAUGCAUUAGUUAGAGAUAGCUAUUUCUUCGGACUUCUUACAAGGUGUUGCAUGGCUGUCG
This 96-nucleotide ribosomal RNA is filed under the name uncultured marine bacterium. RNAcentral describes it as "partial small subunit ribosomal RNA". The record is from RNAcentral.